Long non-coding RNA from Vicia villosa (hairy vetch), 766 nucleotides. RefSeq lists it as uncharacterized. NCBI's taxonomy places the organism in Eukaryota, Viridiplantae, Streptophyta, Magnoliopsida, Fabales, Fabaceae. The transcript has 3 exons. The record is from RefSeq and is a predicted model, not a curated record.
UUCCUCCUUAUUUUCGUUCUCUCUCUCUCUCUCCCAUCUUCUCUUCUCUCUCUUUUCCCUGAAACCCUAGAAUCACAAAAAGAACAAACCCUAAAAUUCUCUCUCCAUUUUGAUUCAGAUCUAUAAACAUUGAAGAAGGAUAUCAAUCCUCUCGCCGUCAUCACCAUCGUGUAUUUUUUCACCGUCAUCUCUUCUCUUUGAAUCUGUAUCUUCUUGCCGACAAAAGAUUUUCUUUUCAGAUUUUCUUUUCUCUGUUAUCCUCUCUCUCUCUUUUCCCUUCAAACCCUACCACCAUUGUCUCUCAUUUUCUUUCAAUUUCAAUAUCACUGUCAUUUCAUUCCUUUCCAACUCAGUUCUGAAUUUCGAUUUCCAUUUCAAGCUUUUACCACUGUUUCUAAGUUAUGAGAUUUUUUAUUCAGUAGGAGGUUUGAAGUUGGAAAAAUAUACAAAUAGAAAGGGACGGCGAAGAAGUUAAGCGAGGUGCCUCAUAGGUAAAGUUCAACAACUAUCAAAACCUUAGUUGCAGAACUACCAACCUCUGUUGCAACAAGAUUCGUCACUAUUUCAACAAACAACUCUCUAUGAUCGAUUUUCAUCUCUUCAUAUUGCUACUGCUAAUGGCCAUAUCGAGACUCAUUUGAAGAGUCCAUGGGAAGAGGAAGUUUGCAAGGGCUUUAGCAGAGGUACAAAGAGACAUUGCAUUUUACGGCCAUGUCCUAACUAUGAAAGAGUAUUCCCCAUUUAUCAGGUAUAAUACUAUUCUCAC